AGAGUUUGAUCCUGGCUCAGAACGAACGCUGGCGGCAGGCUUAACACAUGCAAGUCGAACGCGUGUAGCAAUACACGAGUGGCGCACGGGUGAGUAACGCGUGGAUAUCUGCCUUUUGGUUCGGAAUAACCCCGGGAAACUGGGGCUAAUACCGGAUGGUUCCUUCGGGAUAAAGAUUUAUCGCCAAAAGAUGAGUCCGCGUCCGAUUAGCUAGUUGGUGAGGUAAUGGCUCACCAAGGCGACGAUCGGUAGCUGGUCUGAGAGGACGAUCAGCCACACUGGGACUGAGACACGGCCCAGACUCCUACGGGAGGCAGCAGUGGGGAAUAUUGGACAAUGGGGGCAACCCUGAUCCAGCCAUGCCGCGUGAGUGAUGAAGGCCUUCGGGUUGUAAAGCUCUUUUGGCGGGGACGAUGAUGACGGUACCCGCAGAAUAAGCCCCGGCUAACUUCGUGCCAGCAGCCGCGGUAAGACGAAGGGGGCUAGCGUUGUUCGGAAUUACUGGGCGUAAAGCGCGUGUAGGCGGUUGUCCAAGUCGGGUGUGAAAGCCUUGAGCUCAACUCAAGAAAUGCACUCGGUACUGGGCGACUAGAGGACCGGAGAGGAUAGUGGAAUUCCCAGUGUAGUGGUGAAAUACGUAGAGAUUGGGAAGAACACCAGUGGCGAAGGCGGCUAUCUGGCGGUUUCUGACGCUAAGACGCGAAAGCGUGGGGAGCAAACAGGAUUAGAUACCCUAGUAGUCC
Molecule: ribosomal RNA, 743 nt
Filed under: uncultured bacterium
Lineage: Bacteria
Description: bacterial SSU rRNA
Rfam family: Bacterial small subunit ribosomal RNA
Source: RNAcentral